This 253-nucleotide ribosomal RNA is filed under the name uncultured bacterium. Its description in RNAcentral is "partial 16S ribosomal RNA". It matches the Rfam family "Bacterial small subunit ribosomal RNA", at positions 524 to 776 of the family's 1533-position model. The record is from RNAcentral.
CACGUAGGGUGCGAGCGUUGUCCGGAAUUAUUGGGCGUAAAGCGUGCGCAGGCGGUUCGUUGUGUCGGCGGUGAAAGCCCCGGGCUUAACCUGGGAAUGGCCGUUGAAACUGGCGAACUGGAGUGUGGCAGAGGGGGGUGGAAUUCCGCGUGUAGCAGUGAAAUGCGUAGAGAUGCGGAGGAACACCGAUGGCGAAGGCAGCCCCCUGGGCUAACACUGACGCUCAGGCACGAAAGCGUGGGGAGCAAACAGG